Molecule: RNA transcript, 2544 nt
Organism: Panicum virgatum (switchgrass)
Lineage: Eukaryota; Viridiplantae; Streptophyta; Magnoliopsida; Poales; Poaceae
Gene name: protein DOUBLE-STRAND BREAK FORMATION-like
Exons: 7
Source: RefSeq, a predicted model, not a curated record
CCGCACCCGCACGCCCUCCACUGCAUGAACCGCCGCCACCGCACGCUCGCCCCACCCUCCGCCUCCACCGUACGCGCGCCGUCGUCACUCCGCCCGGCCGCCGCACGCUCGCCACGCCUCCACCUCGAGUUGCCCUCCACCGCACGGCCAGCCGCCGCCGCACGCUCGCCCCCCCCCCCCCCUCCACCUCCUCCCUCUGCGCCCGACACCUCCGCACGCUCGUACGGCUGGGGCGGCGCCUCACUGCCCUUCGCCCGGCGCCCUCACCGGCUCGCGCGACGCCACCGCUGCCGCCUUUGCUUGGCUGACCGGGGCGGACGCCUCACUCCCCUCUCGCGCGCUCGGCCUCUGCUCGGCUAGGACGCCUCCCUCCCCUCCGGCGCACGACCCGCCGCCGUGCCGUCCCAGCAUCUCACCCUCACCCACCACCGCACCUCGACUUCGCCCGGCGGCCGCUCGUCCAUCGCCCGGGCCCUUUCGUGAGUCUGCUUCUUCGUCCUGCCCCUAAUUGGUUCCUCCAUGAAUAUGAUUCAUUAAAUACGUUUGUUACUCUAUUUGUUGUUUGUCAGACAUAAUUUAGAUGAUGACUGAGACCUAUUGAUAAAGUUUGUCCAUCCACGCUUGCUGUGCAGUUAUAUUGUUCCUUUUCACUUGUAAUCUUCAAUGAGUAAUUUCAUCAUGGAAUGUGUGAUUUGAAGUUGAGGAGAAAACUUUUGGUGGUGACUGACUGCGCCCCAUUCUUAAAUGUUCCAGUGGUACUAUGUUAAGUGGUUGAUUAGUCUGCAUUUGAUUUUGUGGAGUUGCACUGCAAGUACAUGGAACUUUUAUGUCUCGAAUUCUGCAGUGGUACUAUGUUAAGUGACGCUUGUUAUUUGGGAUGUUUGCUCACAUGUCUAAUUCUUUUUGGAAUCAAUGACUUUGAACUAUAUAAACUAGAUAUGUGUCAAGAUUAUGAACUCUGAAUGUUUCUGAAUUUCUCAAACAACCAGAUCCGCAUACCGACUACCUCUGUGAAAAAGCUAUCAAAGAUCCUAAAGUGAGUCGAUGAUAAUACCACAUUGAGGCAGCGUUUAGUUUGCAAAAAAUUUUGGCCAUUGGCAGAUCUCCUGGCGAAUUCGUUUUGGCCCAAAUAUUUUGGAUGGUGUUUAGUUCCCAAACUUGUUUGUGACAGGGUGGGAGGGGGCUGGGUAAUUUUGUCUGCGUGGGUGGGGCGGCUACAGUAAUUUUUUGCCUACACGGUACCAGGCCGAAAAAUUUUGGGCCAGGCCGAAAUUGUUCGGCAUCUAAACGCUGCCUGAUGAUGGAGGGAUUUCAUCCCAACAACAAUGGCUGCAUCAAGUUUGCAUGGAGAUAAUGUGAAAAAUCGAUUGAUAAGAGAGCAAGACCAGGCCAGCUAGUCAAAGCAAAAAAAUGGUGGCGGUGGCGGACGAGUAUGAAGACGCUCUCUCCCUCUUCGCCUCCCGCCUCCUCUCCCACCCCUGCACCACCUUCGGGGACGGGGAGGGGGACCACCACCUCCGCCUGCUCCAGGCCGCGCUCUCCGCUGGCCCAGACGUCCCCGCUCUGCUACACACGCGCUCCGCCGCCCGCCGCCUGCUUCAGGACCGCGCUAAGGAGGCAUUCGCCGCUGCGCAGGCGCAGGCUCCUCCCCUGGACCAUGCCCGGAUCCUCGCCGUCGCCGACUUCUUCGCCCGGGCCUUCGCCCUCGUCGCCGAUGUCCAGAGCUGCCUUGCCAUGAGAUAUGAGGCCCUGCUUCUGCGACACACUAAAUUCUCUGACAACCACCAUCUCAAAGUGUCACGUGAGGAGUGGUCAACUUUCGCAAAGGAUGCUCUUCACGACGGCUUCUACAACAUUGCUUCCAAGGCAUUUGCAUAUGCUACUGUGCACACUCAUCGCAGCCAGUUGGACUCUACUAAUUCCAUUGAGAAGGACAAGAUCAAUGAUAUGACUGGACUUCAAAACCUGGCGAAGUCAUUAUCUGCAAAGCAUUCUGUUCAGAGUGAGUCAGCUGAAUACAUGAAAAGGAGAAAUUCAGGUGUUCAUGAGAAGUAUAAUUUGCAAUCAGGAAAACCAAAGUUACCAGGAAGUUCAAUGUAUAUGUUAGGGAUCAAAACAAGGAACAUAAAGAAACUGCUUCAUAGUCGUGAAAGGAAUUUGGGGGAUAUUUGAAGCAAUCUUAGUAUGGCAUCUUCCACAAGACUGACAAUAAUGACCAUUAUCUGCAGUAGGAGCCAUUUUGUGAAAGGCGAGAAUUUUUGCAAUGGAGACAUGAAGUGGAGUUCAUGUAUGAGUCUUUGAUUCAAACUUUAAGACGAAGCUGUCAAAGACUACAUAUAUACCUGUGUCCUUGAGUAGCAUAUUCAAUCUGCAAGUUGCUACUUUCCAUAUCUGCAGAACGUUGUUCAUGUGCAGGACAAUAAUAAAUAGCAAUAGUGUCAUGCUUAACAUGUUGCCUUAUUAUAUGAAUUGAAAUUUUUUUGACUGAUGUGGAUGCCAGAUAUUGGAAAAACGGUGCUUGUGAAGCAUUUUCUUUUGAUACUA